GACCCAGUGGUGAAAUGUCCAGCACGUCUGCACAAUUUAGUCUGGUCGGAAUUUUGAGGUUCUGCAGGAGCUCCCUGUUCGAUUCAGGGCUGGGUCA
Non-coding RNA from Mycena rebaudengoi, 97 nucleotides. Lineage: Eukaryota; Fungi; Basidiomycota; Agaricomycetes; Agaricales; Mycenaceae. The record is from the annotation of a GenBank genome assembly.